RNAcentral lists this long non-coding RNA (224 nucleotides) under Actinidia chinensis (golden kiwifruit). RNAcentral describes it as "long non-coding RNA (ACHI_LNC002311)". Lineage: Eukaryota; Viridiplantae; Streptophyta; Magnoliopsida; Ericales; Actinidiaceae. The record is from RNAcentral.
CAGAACUGGUAUAGUUGUAGAUUUUUGUUUGAGAUUCACUCAGUGGACUUAUUGCAAGCUCUCUGUUUGCUGUGAAAGCAGAGUUAAUUGGGUGGGAGAUAACUUGAAGUUUCACUAGUCAACUAGUCAAAAUUAAAAUGAUUGCAGUGACUAUUUUAUCAACAGUUUAAGUUUCAGAUUUAGAAUUAAUUCUUGCCCAAUGCGUUGUCUUCUUCCUUGAAGGU